AUUUAAGUAGUUUAAAAAAAAUAUUAAUUUGUGGUGUUAAAGUUAUACAUGAAUUGUAUCUUAGAUU
Molecule: transfer RNA, 67 nt
Filed under: Tetramorium caespitum
Lineage: Eukaryota; Metazoa; Arthropoda; Insecta; Hymenoptera; Formicidae
Description: tRNA-His
Source: RNAcentral